CGACCCUCGCUGGGUGGGGCGGCCGCCGCAGCGGGGAUUAGCACCCGGAUUUCCUGCUAUCCGGGCUGAUGUUCUCUUCUCCCACUGAUUUACUCUAGGAUUGGAUGGUGAGAAAAGGAGAGAUUCCUGUGAGAAGAGAGCAGGAUGAUCAGAAGGAUCCAUACUUGAAGUUGGGUCGCUUGAAAAUGAUCUCUUUGAGUGUGGAAGAGAUCUGAACAGAUGAAAAUACAAUCAGGAAAAUGCAACAUGGCAGCAGCAAUGGAGACAGAGCAGCUGGGUGUUGAAAUAUUUGAAACUGCAGAGUGUGAGGAGAAUAUUGAAUCACAGGAUCGGCCCAAAUUGGAGCCAUUUUAUGUUGAGCGAUAUUCUUGGAGUCAGCUUAAAAAGUUGCUUGCCGAUACCAGAAAAUACCAUGGCUACAUGAUGGCCAAGGCACCGCAUGAUUUUAUGUUUGUGAAGAGGAAUGAUCCAGAUGGGCCUCAUUCAGACAGGAUCUAUUA
This is a long non-coding RNA of Fukomys damarensis (Damara mole-rat), 500 nucleotides long. RefSeq lists it as uncharacterized. Lineage: Eukaryota; Metazoa; Chordata; Mammalia; Rodentia; Bathyergidae. The record is from RefSeq and is a predicted model, not a curated record. The transcript has 3 exons.